GAUGAACGCUGGCGGCGUGCCUAAUACAUGCAAGUCGAGCGAACGGACGAGAAGCUUGCUUCUCUGAUGUUAGCGGCGGACGGGUGAGUAACACGUGGAUAACCUACCUAUAAGACUGGGAUAACUUCGGGAAACCGGAGCUAAUACCGGAUAAUAUUUUGAACCGCAUGGUUCAAAAGUGAAAGACGGUCUUGCUGUCACUUAUAGAUGGAUCCGCGCUGCAUUAGCUAGUUGGUAAGGUAACGGCUUACCAAGGCAACGAUGCAUAGCCGACCUGAGAGGGUGAUCGGCCACACUGGAACUGAGACACGGUCCAGACUCCUACGGGAGGCAGCAGUAGGGAAUCUUCCGCAAUGGGCGAAAGCCUGAAGGAGCAACGCCGCGUGAGUGAUGAAGGUCUUCGGAUCGUAAAACUCUGUUAUUAGGGAAGAACAUAUGUGUAAGUAACUGUGCACAUCUUGACGGUGCCUAAUCAGAAAGCCACGGCUAACUACGUG
This 497-nucleotide ribosomal RNA is filed under the name uncultured bacterium. Its description in RNAcentral is "partial 16S ribosomal RNA". It matches the Rfam family "Bacterial small subunit ribosomal RNA", at positions 28 to 507 of the family's 1533-position model. The record is from RNAcentral.